RNAcentral lists this ribosomal RNA (429 nucleotides) under uncultured bacterium. Its description in RNAcentral is "bacterial SSU rRNA". It matches the Rfam family "Bacterial small subunit ribosomal RNA", at positions 355 to 776 of the family's 1533-position model. The record is from RNAcentral.
UGGGGAAUCUUGCACAAUGGGCGAAAGCCUGAUGCAGCCAUGCCGCGUGUGUGAAGAAGGCCUUCGGGUUGUAAAGCACUUUAAGCGGGGAGAAAAGGAUAGACGUUAAUAGCGGCUAUCUAUGAUGUUACCCGCAGAAUAAGCACCGGCAAACUUCGUGCCAGCAGCCGCGGUAAUACGAAGGGUGCGAGCGUUAAUCGGAAUUACUGGGCGUAAAGAGCACGUAGGCGGUUUGAUAAGCGGAAUGUGAAAGCCCCGGGCUUAACCUGGGAACUGCAUUCCGAACUGUCAGGCUAGAGUAUGAUAGAGGUGAGCGGAAUUUCCUGUGUAGCGGUGAAAUGCGUAGAUAUAGGAAGGAACAUCAGUUGCGAAGGCGGCUCACUGGAUCAAUACUGACGCUGAGGUGCGAAAGCGUGGGUAGCGAACAGG